AUUGAACGUUGGCGGCACGCUUUAUACAUGCAAGUCGAACGAGAAAGCACUUCGGUGCGAGUACAGUGGCGGACGGGUGAGUAACGCGUAGGAAUCUACCUAGUAGUGGGGGACAACUUGGGGAAACUCAAGCUAAUACCGCAUACACUCUACGGAGAAAAGCAGGGGACCUUCGGGCCUUGCGCUAUUAGAGGAGCCUGCGUUGGAUUAGCUAGUUGGUGGGGUAAAGGCCUACCAAGGCGACGAUCCAUAGCUGGUCUGAGAGGACGAUCAGCCACACUGGAACUGAGACACGGUCCAGACUCCUACGGGAGGCAGCAGUAGGGAAUCUUGGGCAAUGGGCGAAAGCCUGACCCAGCGAUGCCGCGUGUGUGAAGAAGGCCUUAGGGUUGUAAAGCACUUUCAGUCGUGAAGAAAUGCUUAAAGUUAAUACCUUUGAGCCUUGACGUUAACGACAGAAGAAGCACCGGCUAACUCCG
This 479-nucleotide ribosomal RNA is filed under the name uncultured Gammaproteobacteria bacterium. RNAcentral's name for it is "bacterial SSU rRNA". It matches the Rfam family "Bacterial small subunit ribosomal RNA", at positions 30 to 505 of the family's 1533-position model. Lineage: Bacteria; Pseudomonadati; Pseudomonadota; Gammaproteobacteria. The record is from RNAcentral.